GCAGGGCAGACGGGAAGGAGAAAGAGAAACAAGAACCCUGGGACAGUUGGGCUCUACAGCUAAGGUAUUCAGCUGAUCCCAUUUGAUCCUGCACCUCCAGCUGAGGAUGGGUGUGGCAGAUACCAGACAUUGUGGACCAGGAUGUAAGAACCCCUUUAGUCCCUGUGAAGUCAUCUCUAAUCCAGUGUGAAUACUUUCUCCAUGGCCAAAUUCAGUCUACCAACAUGACUCCAUCAGCGAACACAGAACUGUGAAGAGAUGUUCACACUUGAUGGGGUGAGUUAAUGGCAAGACCUACACACCAUAGCACGCAAUGCAAAGAAGUCGUAUCAUAAUUACAAACCCCUAUCUCUGUAAAAAGCAAAUAUAUUAACAAGGGUCCAAUAUUUAUAACUUUUUAAAGUAAAAUGUACAUAGUGAAUUAAUCUUAUAUGUACAAUGUCAAUGAGUUUUGAUAUGUA
Molecule: long non-coding RNA, 461 nt
Filed under: Lynx canadensis (Canada lynx)
Lineage: Eukaryota; Metazoa; Chordata; Mammalia; Carnivora; Felidae
Description: lncRNA (ENSLCNG00005020543.1)
Source: RNAcentral